UCAGACUGGUCUCGAACUCCUCAUCUCAAGAGAUCCACCCACCUGGGCCUCCCAAAGUGCUGGGGUUACCGAGCCACUGCUACUGCGAGUGAGAACUUCCUUGAUGCCUUUUGGCCAAUCAGAUGGUGCUUUUUCCAG
Sapajus apella (tufted capuchin) is the source of this 138-nucleotide long non-coding RNA. RefSeq lists it as uncharacterized. The record is from RefSeq and is a predicted model, not a curated record. Lineage: Eukaryota; Metazoa; Chordata; Mammalia; Primates; Cebidae. The transcript has 3 exons.